UGGGCACAACUGAAGCGACUUAGCAGCAGCAGCAGCAGGAUUAGAGGGCUUAGACAUCAGUAUAGCAUCCUGACUACAUAAAUUAAUAAGCUGAGGCCCAGCAGCCCCCAGGGCAAUGCUGUUUCAGUCCUCAGCGUGUUUCCUGGAGGAUGUGUGAAUGACACUGGGCUACCUUCUCCACCCCCCUUCCAAUCCUGCACUGCUGAUAUGGUGGCCCAGGGGUCUGUGAACUAUCAAGCCUUUCACACGCCCAGCCUUCUGAAAGCUUGCACAGCACAUCCCCAGCCUUGGGUUCUCAAAACAACAGUGCAAGAACUUAAAUUCCUUCUGGGAGAUAGAGUGUUUCAUUCUUAUUUAUGGAUGCAAAAUGGAGUAACAGUGAGAAAUAGUGCUUUUCCAAGGAUGCUCAGAUGGGACACUGGAAAUGGUCUUAGGAGUCACCCGAUUCAACCAUCCUCUUAUUGUGGGGAUCCCUUAACGAAGCAGCUUCUCCUGAUACAUUUCCUGGGCUCCAUUCUCCAGGUCUGCUAUCCUCCCAGGGCCGGCAGCUGCAGGGCUGGAACCGAGGGGACUGGCAGUGAUAAAUGCAGGGUCAGCUCAGUGCCUCGGCUCUGGGGGCUCUCAGGUCCAGGGAAUCCUGUCUGGGGACAAGGCUGGGCCCAGGUCUCAUGCCCAGGAGAGACGAAGCUUUGCUGAGUAGAGUUAGCUGCUCAAAAAAUCCUCCCUGGUGAAAACAUACGAGGAAGUGGAGGACACAGCAAAUGAGAAUGAGAUGCAGUCAUGCCCUCCAGGCUCCAGGAACGAGCUCCUUCAGCUGGAUCUAUCUGCAGGGCUCUUGAGCCGGCUCCUGGAAGUCCCAGCUGAGAAGCAGCCUCCAAAACACGGUGUUUCUGCAGCCCCUCUGAGGAACAGAGGACAAUGCUCUGUCCAACUGCAGACAUCCUUCUCCCCACAGAGGCCCUGUGAACAGCCCGCGACCUCGGUCCAAGCCCAUUAGUGAGCUGGGGCUCUAAGGUCAUGAAACUCAUUUCCAUCUGUCAAUUUCUUUAAUUAGGUGGGGAAUUGCAUUGACCGUCUGUGGACCUAGAGUACCCAAUCCAUCAUUUUUCCAACUUGGAGUAAACCAAAAUAAAAAUAUGCCAACUUGCAAGCUGAUACACCAACCCCGCCUCGAUGCUUUAAAAUAAUCAUUGCAACUGAAUGAGGAGUUUGAGUAAUAAUCUGUGCACUGCAUGCCAGAGCUGGCACGAUAUGCUUCACGGCACUUUAUUUCUAUCCAGGCUUCAGACUGCCAGCCUCAAAUCCUGCAGUCUGCACGAAACGCUACGAGCCUCAAGAGUCCUUUAUUUCCAAGCUCCU
Molecule: long non-coding RNA, 1359 nt
Organism: Capra hircus (goat)
Lineage: Eukaryota; Metazoa; Chordata; Mammalia; Artiodactyla; Bovidae
Exons: 5
Source: RefSeq, a predicted model, not a curated record